RNAcentral lists this ribosomal RNA (1481 nucleotides) under uncultured Flavobacteriia bacterium. RNAcentral describes it as "16S ribosomal RNA". It matches the Rfam family "Bacterial small subunit ribosomal RNA". Lineage: Bacteria; Pseudomonadati; Bacteroidota; Flavobacteriia. The record is from RNAcentral.
UUAGAGUUUGAUCAUGGCUCAGGAUGAACGCUAGCGGCAGGCCUAACACAUGCAAGUCGAGGGGUAACAUAGAGUGCUUGCACUUUGAUGACGACCGGCGCACGGGUGAGUAACGCGUAUACAAUCUGCCUCAUACUAGGGGAUAGCCCAGAGAAAUUUGGAUUAAUACCCUAUAGUAUCAUUUAGAGUCAUCUCUUUAUGAUUAAAGGUUACGGUAUGAGAUGAGUAUGCGUUCUAUUAGUUAGUAGGUGAGGUAACGGCUCACCUAGACCACGAUAGAUAGGGGCCCUGAGAGGGGGAUCCCCCACACUGGUACUGAGACACGGACCAGACUCCUACGGGAGGCAGCAGUGAGGAAUAUUAGACAAUGGGCGAAAGCCUGAUCUAGCCAUGCCGCGUGCAGGAUGACGGCCCUAUGGGUUGUAAACUGCUUUUAUACAGGAAGAAAAAACUCUACGUGUAGAGUCUUGACGGUACUGUAAGAAUAAGGAUCGGCUAACUCCGUGCCAGCAGCCGCGGUAAUACGGAGGAUCCAAGCGUUAUCCGGAAUUAUUGGGUUUAAAGGGUCCGUAGGUGGACAAUUAAGUCAGAGGUGAAAUCCUGCAGCUCAACUGUAGAAUUGCCUUUGAAACUGGUUGUCUUGAGUCAUUAUGAAGUGGUUAGAAUGUGUAGUGUAGCGGUGAAAUGCAUAGAUAUUACACAGAAUACCAAUUGCGAAGGCAGAUCACUAAUAAUGUACUGACACUGAUGGACGAAAGCGUGGGUAGCGAACAGGAUUAGAUACCCUGGUAGUCCACGCCGUAAACGAUGGUCACUAGCUGUUCGGACUUCGGUCUGAGUGGCUAAGCGAAAGUGAUAAGUGACCCACCUGGGGAGUACGUUCGCAAGAAUGAAACUCAAAGGAAUUGACGGGGGCCCGCACAAGCGGUGGAGCAUGUGGUUUAAUUCGAUGAUACGCGAGGAACCUUACCAGGGCUUAAAUGUAGAGUGACAGGUCUAGAGAUAGAUUUUUCUUCGGACACUUUACAAGGUGCUGCAUGGUUGUCGUCAGCUCGUGCCGUGAGGUGUCAGGUUAAGUCCUAUAACGAGCGCAACCCCUGUUGUUAGUUGCCAGCGAGUAAUGUCGGGAACUCUAGCAAGACUGCCAGUGCAAACUGUGAGGAAGGUGGGGAUGACGUCAAAUCAUCACGGCCCUUACGUCCUGGGCUACACACGUGCUACAAUGGUAGGUACAGAGAGCAGCCAAUGCGUGAGCAUGAGCGAAUCUACAAAACCUAUCUCAGUUCGGAUCGGAGUCUGCAACUCGACUCCGUGAAGCUGGAAUCGCUAGUAAUCGGAUAUCAGCCAUGAUCCGGUGAAUACGUUCCCGGGCCUUGUACACACCGCCCGUCAAGCCAUGGAAGUUGGGAGUGCCUGAAGUCCGUCACCGCAAGGAGCGGCCUAGGGUAAAAUCGAUAACUAGGGCUAAGUCGUAACAAGGU